GCGCACACUUCGGCAGCACAUAUACUAAAAUUAGAAUGGCACAGAGAAGAUUAGCAUGACCCCUGCACAAGGAUGACACACAGACUUGUGAAGCAUUCCAUAUUUUU
Small nuclear RNA from Ochotona princeps (American pika), 107 nucleotides. The record is from Ensembl. Lineage: Eukaryota; Metazoa; Chordata; Mammalia; Lagomorpha; Ochotonidae.